GCCCGGGUGGCGGAAUCGGUAGACGCAGUGGAUUCAAAAUCCACCGCCGCAAGGCGUGCCGGUUCGAGUCCGGCCCCGGGCACCA
RNAcentral lists this transfer RNA (85 nucleotides) under Thiobacillus sp. Its description in RNAcentral is "tRNA-Leu". It matches the Rfam family "tRNA". Rfam says of the family: Transfer RNA (tRNA) molecules are approximately 80 nucleotides in length. The record is from RNAcentral. RNAcentral also lists the same sequence under 2 other names. Lineage: Bacteria; Pseudomonadati; Pseudomonadota; Betaproteobacteria; Nitrosomonadales; Thiobacillaceae.